GACGAACGCUGGCGGCGUGCUUAACACAUGCAAGUCGAACGGAAAGGCCCUGCUUUUGUGGGGUGCUCGAGUGGCGAACGGGUGAGUAACACGUGAGUAACCUGCCCUUGACUUUGGGAUAACUUCAGGAAACUGGGGCUAAUACCGGAUAGGAGCUCCUGCUGCAUGGUGGGGGUUGGAAAGUUUCGGCGGUUGGGGAUGGACUCGCGGCUUAUCAGCUUGUUGGUGGGGUAGUGGCUUACCAAGGCUUUGACGGGUAGCCGGCCUGAGAGGGUGACCGGCCACAUUGGGACGGAGAUACGGCCCAGACUCCGACGGGAGGCAGCAGUGGGGAAUAUUGCAUAAUGGGCGGAAGCCUGAUGCAGCAACGCCGCGUGCGGGAGGACGGCCUUCGGGUUGUAAACCGCUUUCGCCUGUGACGAAGCGUGAGUGACGGUAAUGGGUAAAGAAGCACCGGCUAACUACGGG
RNAcentral lists this ribosomal RNA (468 nucleotides) under uncultured bacterium. RNAcentral's name for it is "partial 16S ribosomal RNA". It matches the Rfam family "Bacterial small subunit ribosomal RNA", at positions 28 to 507 of the family's 1533-position model. The record is from RNAcentral.